Molecule: ribosomal RNA, 252 nt
Filed under: uncultured prokaryote
Description: partial 16S ribosomal RNA
Rfam family: Bacterial small subunit ribosomal RNA
Source: RNAcentral
CCCUAUGGGGUGCGAGCGUUAAUCGGAAUCACUGGGCGUAAAGCGCACGUAGGCGGUGUCGUAAGUCGGAUGUGAAAGCCCUCGGCUCAACCGGGGAACUGCAUUCGAUACUGCGACGCUUGAGUGCCGGAGAGGGUGGCGGAAUUCCAGGGGUAGGAGUGAAAUCCGUAGAUAUCUGGAGGAACACCAGUGGCGAAGGCGGCCACCUGGCCGGCAACUGACGCGGAGGUGCGAAAGCGUGGGGAGCAAACA